RNAcentral lists this ribosomal RNA (351 nucleotides) under Pseudoperonospora cubensis. RNAcentral describes it as "bacterial SSU rRNA". It matches the Rfam family "Eukaryotic small subunit ribosomal RNA", at positions 1516 to 1831 of the family's 1831-position model. Lineage: Eukaryota; Oomycota; Peronosporomycetes; Peronosporales; Peronosporaceae. The record is from RNAcentral.
CGAGUAUAAAACCUUGAUCGAUAGGUCUGGGUAAUCUUGUGAAUGCGCAUCGUGCUAGGGAUAGACUGUUGCAAUUUUCAGUCUUGAACGAGGAAUUCCUAGUAAACGCAAGUCAUCAGCUUGCAUUGAUUACGUCCCUGCCCUUUGUACACACCGCCCGUCGCACCUACCGAUUGAAUGACUCGGUGAAAAAUUGGGACCGUGAGUCUGUUUGCUUAAUUGCGAGUGGAUUGAUGGGAACUUUUUUAAACCUCGCCAUUUAGAGGAAGGUGAAGUCGUAACAAGGUUUCCGUAGGUGAACCUGCGGAAGGAUCAUUACCACACCUAAAAACUUUCCACGUGAACUGUAUC